AAGUGACGGUACCUGCAGAAGAAGCGCCGGCUAACUACGUGCCAGCAGCCGCGGUAAUACGUAGGGCGCAAGCGUUGUCCGGAAUUAUUGGGCGUAAAGAGCUCGUAGGCGGUUUGUCGCGUCUGCUGUGAAAUCCAGAGGCUCAACCUCCGGCCUGCAGUGGGUACGGGCAGACUAGAGUGCGGUAGGGGAGAUUGGAAUUCCUGGUGUAGCGGUGGAAUGCGCAGAUAUCAGGAGGAACACCGAUGGCGAAGGCAGAUCUCUGGGCCGUAACUGACGCUGAGGAGCGAAAGGGUGGGGAGCAAACAGGCUUAGAUACCCUGGUAGUCCACCCCGUAAACGUUGGGAACUAGUUGUGGGGUCCAUUCCACGGAUUCCGUGACGCAGCUAACGCAUUAAGUUCCCCGCCUGGGGAGUACGGCCGCAAGGCUAAAACUCAAAGGAAUUGACGGGGACCCGCACAAGCGGCGGAGCAUGCGGAUUAAUUCGAUGCAACGCGAAGAACCUUACCAAGGCUUGACAUAUUCGAGAACGGGCCAGAAAUGGUCAACUCUUUGGACACUCGUAAACAGGUGGUGCAUGGUUGUCGUCAGCUCGUGUCGUGAGAUGUUGGGUUAAGUCCCGCAACGAGCGCAACCCUCGUUCUAUGUUGCCAGCACGUAAUGGUGGGAACUCAUGGGAUACUGCCGGGGUCAACUCGGAGGAAGGUGGGGAUGACGUCAAAUCAUCAUGCCCCUUAUGUCUUGGGCUUCACGCAUGCUACAAUGGCCGGUACAAAGGGCUGCAAUACCGCGAGGUGGAGCGAAUCCCAAAAAGCCGGUCCCAGUUCGGAUUGAGGUCUGCAACUCGACCUCAUGAAGUCGGAGUCGCUAGUAAUCGCAGAUCAGCAACGCUGCGGUGAAUACGUUCCCGGGUCUUGUACACACCGCCCGUCAAGUCACGAAAGUGGG
RNAcentral lists this ribosomal RNA (950 nucleotides) under Cellulomonas hominis. RNAcentral's name for it is "bacterial SSU rRNA". It matches the Rfam family "Bacterial small subunit ribosomal RNA", at positions 467 to 1414 of the family's 1533-position model. The record is from RNAcentral. Lineage: Bacteria; Bacillati; Actinomycetota; Actinomycetes; Micrococcales; Cellulomonadaceae.